This 81-nucleotide non-coding RNA is filed under the name uncultured Chlorophyceae. The record is from RNAcentral. Lineage: Eukaryota; Viridiplantae; Chlorophyta; Chlorophyceae.
AAGGAAAGUCAGUUUCAAAAAGAAAAAAGAAGACCAAGAAUAAUAAUUCUGACAUUUCCCAGCUUUUUUUUAAUGGAUUCU